RNAcentral lists this long non-coding RNA (848 nucleotides) under Lactuca sativa (garden lettuce). RNAcentral's name for it is "long non-coding RNA (LSAT_LNC009860)". Lineage: Eukaryota; Viridiplantae; Streptophyta; Magnoliopsida; Asterales; Asteraceae. The record is from RNAcentral.
UCCCAUCUAUAAAAAUAACAAAAACAUCUAAGACAAGCCCAAGGAGCCAAACAAAGUAAUCUACAUGUUACGAAACAAAAAAUAAAAAGGCCAAUACAUGCUAUGAAUCAUAAUACAUAAAUAGAGAAAAAGAACUACAGAAAUUUUAUUUUUAUAAUUGUUGGGUUUAAACAAUAUACUCUAUUAACUUGUUUUGAGUAGAGUAGUCAUUUUUUACACUCGUCUCUCCAUUAUCAGCUUCUUCAUUCUAUUUUAUUGUUCAAUUGAAUUAAUAGAGCCUAUUUUUAAAAAAAAAACUUAUUCACAGAUCUCUGAACAAUCAAAAAGAACUUAUUCAUUAUCUUCAAGGUUGUAAGACUAAGACAGUGUAAUGUUCACUGAAAUUCAUCAAGAAUAAGCAAUGCACUGGUAGGUCAGAGCCACUAUUUCAUACCUACAAACAAUAAAAAAGAAAGCAAUCAAGAAAUUAAGAUUAGUCAUUCAAAAAUCAGUGAAAUUUCAGAUAUCAGAAAGAGAAAAUAAGAACAAGAGAAUCAGAAGUAAACUUACUUUGUUUUAAAUCGAAUUUAAGUUUUUAAAAUUGAAAGAAACCAGAUAUUCAGAUCAUGUUCCGAUGGUUGAUGACGAUGGCGUGUUUGCACUUGGCUAGUAGCUCCUCGCUCCUCUCUUUGGCGCCUGAUUACACCAGAUUUAGAUUUGGCCCUUUUUAGGCUAAAAAGUAUUGGGCUUUCACGCUAUUAAUCCAAUAUAACAGCUAUAAAUACUUUAACUAUAAAAUAUAACGUCUAUACUCUAUACGAAGUAGGGCAUUCACUUACUAAUUACUAUAUAUUUCAUUUCAUAGGGAA